CGGGACACGUGUGUCCCAGAGCGCCCCUAGUGCGGUCGGGCCCCGCGGGCCACCAGGACCGGCCGUGGCACCCCCGAGCAGCCAUGUUCAGGGGUGCUUAUUUGCACUUUGCUCCAGCCUGCCGACAGAGGUCUGUGAGUUGAAGAGGACUAUCCACGAAACUUUUAAUACCUUUGAGUCUUUUGGAUUUUGCAACACUUCUGGAAAGGCAUAUGAGAAACAUGGUUCCCUACUGAAGAGCUGGAAUUAACCUUGGCUGCACAUUGGAAUCAACUGGGAACUUUAAAAAUACAGACAUUUGGGUCCUCAGAAAUUCCCACUUAACUGAGGGGUAGUGAAGUCUGGGAGGAAUUAAGUCUGCUCUGGGGAGCAGCGGGCAUCCCACUUGUAAAAGCUCUUAGGUGAUUCCAGCACACAGCUGAGACUGAGAAUGUUGUCUCUAAGAAUCUGAAAUCCCUAAUUUUCAGGUUUUCCUUGUUCUGGUAACUGUUUUCUCAGGUGUAAGUUCCAUCUUUUGCUGAGAUAUUUGUUUCUUGUAGAUGGUGUUGGCUUUUUUCAGAGACUGGGUGAGCUCCACUCACCUGUGUUACAUCUCUGUCUGCACCCCAGGCUUCCCCUGUGGCCUGGCUGCACUAAUUCCCACAAGGCGGUUAUGAGAGGGAGCGCCUCCUACCACAUCAUUUCCCAUCUCCUCUUCCUUAAGGAAUGCUGCUCAGGUGUUCUGGAGAGGGCUCGUUCUUAUUUUCAAAAGUGGCUAUAUUGUCUUUUAUUUUUCUCCUUCCCUCCCUUUCCUUCCUUCCUCUUUGUAUCUUCAAACUCUCUUCUUAGGGUCUUAUAAGGAAGUGGAGAUUUCAGUGUGAGUUUAGUCUACAUUCUUGAAAUCUGGUGAUUUUACUUUUUAGCUUUAUACACUUUUGUGUUACUUGAAUUAUUUCCCCACAAAUAUAUUACUUUAGUAGUAAUCUUUUAAAAUAUUUUAUGCAAAGUUAUUACAGUCAUAAAGUUUAUGUAAUAAUCUGCAAAAACUGUUACGAUUAAGUAAGGAAAAAAGUAGAAAUAUACACAGGAGGAUGACAGUGGAAAACAAGACCAUGACAAAAAGCCAACUUUAUCCAUGGAGAGAGACUGGAAUGGAAUACAUAUGAAAUAAUGGCUGUGCUUACACAGAGCCACUGUGGUAAGGUUUUUGCUUUUCAUAUACUUUAGUAUUUUAUAUAUGUAUUUUAAAAGAGUAUAUAUAUUUUUUAUAAUGGAUGGGGAAAUUGAGGCACUCAUGUUAAAGGAGUUUAGUCAACUGCAGAAGUUGUCCAUGGUACAAAAUGGUUUGUGGGAGACACUCAAGCUCAGAGAAGCUGACUGGGUGUAUCCCAAGGAAGGUGUUGCCUGGGAUGUCAUUGUCAGAAGAAAAUGAGCAUUGCCAGCUGUACUUUAAUGUGCUGGUCAUGAAGCCAAGUUACCUCUAUUCCCUAUUACCCCAGCAAGAGUGCCUUUUGGUUUUGUUUGGGCAUCCACCCCUCAACAACCCUUGAGGUGUCUGGGACUCCACCUUUGCCUCAAGAGGAACAAGACAUGAUGCAGGCCACACCGUUAGUGUAUCACAUUCCUCUUGCUCAGUUAAACUGAAACCACUACAAAGAGGCUUUUUCCCCCUCCAAGCUGUACUUCAACUUGAAUCUUGUGGCUGCAGCAGCUCUAGCUCUCUUGCUUCCUUCGAGAGCCUGAGAAUUAAGCAACGCAUGCAAAGGAGCAAAUCAGUUGAAUGCCAAUCUGGCUGCAGUGAGGCCUAGAUCUUCUGUCCUUAGGUUUUUUCUGAUACAUGAGCCAAUACAUUUCCUAAGACAGGUUGAGUUGUGCUUUGCAACACUUAAAUAAGUCAAAAUAGCUCUACAAACUCUACUUAUGGAGAUUUGUUUUAAAAGGAACACUAGAGAGAAGAAUGUAUUGCCUUUACCCAGUGCUUUCUCUUGAAAGUUGAUGCUCUAAUUCCUGACCUCCUGACCUCUACCCUUAUUCACUGGGCAAAUGUCUCUCUCCCCUGGAGAAACAGUCAUUCAUCCAUUAGCCUAGUGUGAUGAAAAUAUCUCAC
This is a non-coding RNA of Manis javanica (Malayan pangolin), 2086 nucleotides long. The record is from RefSeq and is a predicted model, not a curated record. Lineage: Eukaryota; Metazoa; Chordata; Mammalia; Pholidota; Manidae.